Molecule: non-coding RNA, 122 nt
Organism: Picea glauca (white spruce)
Lineage: Eukaryota; Viridiplantae; Streptophyta; Pinopsida; Pinales; Pinaceae
Source: Rfam
UUAUGUGCAUGCCUACAAUGUUAAUGCACCAUAUCCUGUUAGAAAUCCACAUUUAAGCACACUUGGGAUAGAGUAGUACUAGGAUGGGUGACCUCCCGGGAAGUCCUAGUGUUUUACAUGCU